AUUGAACGCUGGCGGCAGGCCUAACACAUGCAAGUCGAGCGGCGCUGCGGACGGGUGGGUAAUGACUAGGAAUUUGCCUGUUAGUGGGGUACACAGUCCGGGAACGUGCCAUUAUCCAGCAUACUUUCAGUGCAGUCUAGGUUGGAUUAGAUAGUUGGUGGGGUAAAGGCUUACCAAGGCGACGAUUCGUAACUGGACUGAGAGGAUGAUCGGUCACACUGGAACUGAGACACGGUCCAGACUCCUACGGGAGGCAGCAGUAGGGAAUAUUGGGCAAUGGGCGAAAGCCUGAUCGAGCAAGGCCGCGUGUGUGAAGAAGGUCUUCGGAUUGUAAAGCACUGUAAGUAGGGAGGCGGUACCAACAGAGUAAGCACCGGCUAACUACGUGCCAGCAGCCGCGGUAAUUC
This 407-nucleotide ribosomal RNA is filed under the name uncultured bacterium. RNAcentral's name for it is "partial 16S ribosomal RNA". It matches the Rfam family "Bacterial small subunit ribosomal RNA", at positions 30 to 526 of the family's 1533-position model. The record is from RNAcentral.